RNAcentral lists this ribosomal RNA (451 nucleotides) under uncultured bacterium. RNAcentral describes it as "partial 16S ribosomal RNA". It matches the Rfam family "Bacterial small subunit ribosomal RNA", at positions 29 to 523 of the family's 1533-position model. The record is from RNAcentral.
AACGAACGCUGGCGGCAGGCUUAACACAUGCAAGUCGAACGCUCGUAGCAAUACGGGAGUGGCAGACGGGUGAGUAACGCGUGGGAACAUGCCCUUUGGUUCGGAACAACUCCGGGAAACUGGAGCUAAAACCGGAUAAGCCCUACGGGGGAAAGAUUUAUCGCCGAAGGAUUGGCCCGCGUCUGAUUAGCUAGUUGGUGGGGUAAUGGCCCACCAAGGCGACGAUCAGUAGCUGGUCUGAGAGGAUGAUCAGCCACACUGGGACUGAGACACGGCCCAGACUCCUACGGGAGGCAGCAGUGGGGAAUAUUGGACAAUGGGCGCAAGCCUGAUCCAGCCAUGCCGCGUGAGUGAUGAAGGCCUUAGGGUUGUAAAGCUCUUUCGCGCGCGACGAUAAUGACGGUAGCGCGAGAAGAAGCCCCGGCUAACUUCGUGCCAGCCGCCGCCGUAA